This 2880-nucleotide ribosomal RNA is filed under the name Salmonella enterica subsp. enterica serovar Enteritidis. RNAcentral's name for it is "23S ribosomal RNA". It matches the Rfam family "Bacterial large subunit ribosomal RNA". Lineage: Bacteria; Pseudomonadati; Pseudomonadota; Gammaproteobacteria; Enterobacterales; Enterobacteriaceae. The record is from RNAcentral.
GGGUUGUGAGGUUAAGCGACUAAGCGUACACGGUGGAUGCCCUGGCAGUCAGAGGCGAUGAAGGGCGUGCUAAUCUGCGAUAAGCGCCGGUAAGGUGAUAUGAACCGUUAUAACCGGCGAUACCCGAAUGGGGAAACCCAGUGUGAUUCGUCACACUAUCAUUAACUGAAUCCAUAGGUUAAUGAGGCGAACCGGGGGAACUGAAACAUCUAAGUACCCCGAGGAAAAGAAAUCAACCGAGAUUCCCCCAGUAGCGGCGAGCGAACGGGGAGGAGCCCAGAGCCUGAAUCAGCAUGUGUGUUAGUGGAAGCGUCUGGAAAGGCGCGCGAUACAGGGUGACAGCCCCGUACACAAAAGCGCAUGUGCUGUGAGCUCGAUGAGUAGGGCGGGACACGUGGUAUCCUGUCUGAAUAUGGGGGGACCAUCCUCCAAGGCUAAAUACUCCUGACUGACCGAUAGUGAACCAGUACCGUGAGGGAAAGGCGAAAAGAACCCCGGCGAGGGGAGUGAAAAAGAACCUGAAACCGUGUACGUACAAGCAGUGGGAGCNNNNNNNNNNNNNNNNNNNNNNNNNNNNNNNNNNNNNNNNNNNNNNNNNNNNNNNNNNNNNGGCGUUAAGUUGCAGGGUAUAGACCCGAAACCCGGUGAUCUAGCCAUGGGCAGGUUGAAGGUUGGGUAACACUAACUGGAGGACCGAACCGACUAAUGUUGAAAAAUUAGCGGAUGACCUGUGGCUGGGGGUGAAAGGCCAAUCAAACCGGGAGAUAGCUGGUUCUCCCCGAAAGCUAUUUAGGUAGCGCCUCGUGAAUUCAUCUCCGGGGGUAGAGCACUGUUUCGGCUAGGGGGCCAUCCCGGCUUACCAACCCGAUGCAAACUGCGAAUACCGGAGAAUGUUAUCACGGGAGACACACGGCGGGUGCUAACGUCCGUCGUGAAGAGGGAAACAACCCAGACCGCCAGCUAAGGUCCCAAAGUCAUGGUUAAGUGGGAAACGAUGUGGGAAGGCCCAGACAGCCAGGAUGUUGGCUUAGAAGCAGCCAUCAUUUAAAGAAAGCGUAAUAGCUCACUGGUCGAGUCGGCCUGCGCGGAAGAUGUAACGGGGCUAAACCAUGCACCGAAGCUGCGGCAGCGACACUGUGUGUUGUUGGGUAGGGGAGCGUUCUGUAAGCCUGUGAAGGUGUGUCGUGAGGCAUGCUGGAGGUAUCAGAAGUGCGAAUGCUGACAUAAGUAACGAUAAAGCGGGUGAAAAGCCCGCUCGCCGGAAGACCAAGGGUUCCUGUCCAACGUUAAUCGGGGCAGGGUGAGUCGACCCCUAAGGCGAGGCCGAAAGGCGUAGUCGAUGGGAAACGGGUUAAUAUUCCCGUACUUGGUGUUACUGCGAAGGGGGGACGGAGAAGGCUAUGUUGGCCGGGCGACGGUUGUCCCGGUUUAAGCGUGUAGGUGUGUGUUCCAGGUAAAUCCGGUUCACUUUAACACUGAGGCGUGACGACGAGGCACUACGGUGCUGAAGCAACAAAUGCCCUGCUUCCAGGAAAAGCCUCUAAGCAUCAGGUAACAUCAAAUCGUACCCCAAACCGACACAGGUGGUCAGGUAGAGAAUACCAAGGCGCUUGAGAGAACUCGGGUGAAGGAACUAGGCAAAAUGGUGCCGUAACUUCGGGAGAAGGCACGCUGACACGUAGGUGAAGUGAUUUACUCAUGGAGCUGAAGUCAGUCGAAGAUACCAGCUGGCUGCAACUGUUUAUUAAAAACACAGCACUGUGCAAACACGAAAGUGGACGUAUACGGUGUGACGCCUGCCCGGUGCCGGAAGGUUAAUUGAUGGGGUCAGCGCAAGCGAAGCUCCUGAUCGAAGCCCCGGUAAACGGCGGCCGUAACUAUAACGGUCCUAAGGUAGCGAAAUUCCUUGUCGGGUAAGUUCCGACCUGCACGAAUGGCGUAAUGAUGGCCAGGCUGUCUCCACCCGAGACUCAGUGAAAUUGAACUCGCUGUGAAGAUGCAGUGUACCCGCGGCAAGACGGAAAGACCCCGUGAACCUUUACUAUAGCUUGACACUGAACAUUGAGCCUUGAUGUGUAGGAUAGGUGGGAGGCUUUGAAGUGUGGACGCCAGUCUGCAUGGAGCCGACCUUGAAAUACCACCCUUUAAUGUUUGAUGUUCUAACGUGGACCCGUUACCCGGGUUGCGGACAGUGUCUGGUGGGUAGUUUGACUGGGGCGGUCUCCUCCUAAAGAGUAACGGAGGAGCACGAAGGUUGGCUAAUCCUGGUCGGACAUCAGGAGGUUAGUGCAAUGGCAUAAGCCAGCUUGACUGCGAGCGUGACGGCGCGAGCAGGUGCGAAAGCAGGUCAUAGUGAUCCGGUGGUUCUGAAUGGAAGGGCCAUCGCUCAACGGAUAAAAGGUACUCCGGGGAUAACAGGCUGAUACCGCCCAAGAGUUCAUAUCGACGGCGGUGUUUGGCACCUCGAUGUCGGCUCAUCACAUCCUGGGGCUGAAGUAGGUCCCAAGGGUAUGGCUGUUCGCCAUUUAAAGUGGUACGCGAGCUGGGUUUAGAACGUCGUGAGACAGUUCGGUCCCUAUCUGCCGUGGGCGCUGGAGAACUGAGGGGGGCUGCUCCUAGUACGAGAGGACCGGAGUGGACGCAUCACUGGUGUUCGGGUUGUCAUGCCAAUGGCACUGCCCGGUAGCUAAAUGCGGAAGAGAUAAGUGCUGAAAGCAUCUAAGCACGAAACUUGCCCCGAGAUGAGUUCUCCCUGAGACUUAAAGUCUCCUGAAGGAACGUUGAAGACGACGACGUUGAUAGGCCGGGUGUGUAAGCGCAGCGAUGCGUUGAGCUAACCGGUACUAAUGAACCGUGAGGCUUAACCUUACAACGCCGAAG